UCGGACGUGGUGUACGGUGCACGCCUGCUGCUUUUAUCGGUUCGAACAGGUGUAAGCCAGAGCCCUGGGUUCGACUCCCAGCGUCCGAA
Molecule: non-coding RNA, 89 nt
Organism: Mycena vulgaris
Lineage: Eukaryota; Fungi; Basidiomycota; Agaricomycetes; Agaricales; Mycenaceae
Source: the annotation of a GenBank genome assembly